Ribosomal RNA from Owenweeksia hongkongensis DSM 17368, 1521 nucleotides. It matches the Rfam family "Bacterial small subunit ribosomal RNA". The record is from Rfam. Lineage: Bacteria; Pseudomonadati; Bacteroidota; Flavobacteriia; Flavobacteriales; Owenweeksiaceae.
ACAAUGGAGAGUUUGAUCCUGGCUCAGGAUGAACGCUAGCGGCAGGCUUAACACAUGCAAGUCGAACGGUAACAGGUCCUUCGGGAUGCUGACGAGUGGCGCACGGGUGCGUAACGCGUAUGCAAUCUACCCCUAUCAGGAGGAUAGCCCAGAGAAAUUUGGAUUAAUACUCCAUAAUAUUAUGAGAUCACAUGUUCUUAUAAUUAAAGCUUCGGUGGAUAGGGAUGAGCAUGCGUCCUAUUAGCUAGUUGGUAGUGUAACGGACUACCAAGGCAACGAUAGGUAGGGGGCCUGAGAGGGUGAUCCCCCACACUGGUACUGAGACACGGACCAGACUCCUACGGGAGGCAGCAGUGAGGAAUAUUGGUCAAUGGACGAAAGUCUGAACCAGCCAUGCCGCGUGCAGGAUGACGGCCCUAUGGGUUGUAAACUGCUUUUAUAUGGGAAUAAACCCUCGGACGUGUCCGAGGCUGAAGGUACCAUAAGAAUAAGGACCGGCUAACUCCGUGCCAGCAGCCGCGGUAAUACGGAGGGUCCAAGCGUUAUCCGGAUUUAUUGGGUUUAAAGGGUCCGUAGGCGGGAUAUUAAGUCAGUGGUGAAAGCCUGCAGCUUAACUGUAGCACUGCCAUUGAUACUGGUAUUCUUGAGUAUAGUUGAAGUGGGCGGAAUAUGUCAUGUAGCGGUGAAAUGCAUAGAUAUGACAUAGAACACCUAUUGCGAAGGCAGCUCACUAAGCUAUCACUGACGCUAAGGGACGAAAGCGUGGGUAGCAAACAGGAUUAGAUACCCUGGUAGUCCACGCCGUAAACGAUGAUCACUCGCUGUUGGCGAUAUACAGUCAGCGGCCAAGCGAAAGCAUUAAGUGAUCCACCUGGGGAGUACGCGUCGCAAGAGUGAAACUCAAAGGAAUUGACGGGGGCCCGCACAAGCGGUGGAGCAUGUGGUUUAAUUCGAUGAUACGCGAGGAACCUUACCUGGGCUUAAAUGUAGAUUGACAGGCUGAGAAAUCAGUUUUUCUUCGGACAAUUUACAAGGUGCUGCAUGGUUGUCGUCAGCUCGUGCCGUGAGGUGUCGGGUUAAGUCCCAUAACGAGCGCAACCCCUAUUCUUAGUUGCCAGCGAGUAAUGUCGGGGACUCUAGGAAAACUGCCCGCGCAAGCGGUGAGGAAGGUGGGGAUGACGUCAAAUCAUCACGGCCCUUACGUCCAGGGCCACACACGUGCUACAAUGGUAGUGACAAAGGGCAGCUACACAGCGAUGUGAUGCUAAUCUCUAAACACUAUCUCAGUUCGGAUCGCAGUCUGCAACUCGACUGCGUGAAGCUGGAAUCGCUAGUAAUCGCGCAUCAGCCAUGGCGCGGUGAAUACGUUCCCGGGCCUUGUACACACCGCCCGUCAAGCCAUGGAAGCUGGGGGUGCCUGAAGUCGGUCACCGAAAGGAGCUGCCUAGGGUAAAACUAGUGACUGGGGCUAAGUCGUAACAAGGUAGCCGUACCGGAAGGUGCGGCUGGAACACCUCCUUU